UACGUAGGUGGCAAGCGUUAUCCGGAUUUAUUGGGCGUAAAGGGAACGCAGGCGGUCUUUUAAGUCUGAUGUGAAAGCCUUCGGCUUAACCGGAGUAGUGCAUUGGAAACUGGGAGACUUGAGUGCAGAAGAGGAGAGUGUAACUCCAUGUGUAGCGGUGAAAUGCGUAGAUAUAUGGAAGAACACCAGUGGCGAAAGCGGCUCUCUGGUCUGUAACUGACGCUGAGGUUCGAAAGCGUGGGUAGCAAACAGG
This 253-nucleotide ribosomal RNA is filed under the name uncultured bacterium. RNAcentral describes it as "partial 16S ribosomal RNA". It matches the Rfam family "Bacterial small subunit ribosomal RNA", at positions 524 to 776 of the family's 1533-position model. The record is from RNAcentral.